This 496-nucleotide ribosomal RNA is filed under the name uncultured bacterium. Its description in RNAcentral is "partial 16S ribosomal RNA". It matches the Rfam family "Bacterial small subunit ribosomal RNA", at positions 28 to 506 of the family's 1533-position model. The record is from RNAcentral.
GAUGAACGCCGGCGGCGUGCCUAAUACAUGCAAGUCGAGCGAACGGACGAGAAGCUUGCUUCUCUGAUGUUAGCGGCGGACGGGUGAGUAACACGUGGAUAACCUACCUAUAAGACUGGGAUAACUUCGGGAAACCGUAGCUAAUACCGGAUAAUAUUUUGAACCGCAUGGUUCAAAAGUGAAAGACGGUCUUGCUGUCACUUAUAGAUGGAUCCGCGCUGCAUUAGCUAGUUGGUAAGGUAACGGCUUACCAAGGCAACGAUGCAUAGCCGACCUGAGAGGGUGAUCGGCCACACUGGAACUGAGACACGGUCCAGACUCCUACGGGAGGCAGCAGUAGGGAAUCUUCCGCAAUGGGCGAAAGCCUGACGGAGCAACGCCGCGUGAGUGAUGAAGGUCUUCGGAUCGUAAAACUCUGUUAUUAGGGAAGAACAUAUGUGUAAGUAACUGUGCACAUCUUGACGGUACCUAAUCAGAAAGCCACGGCUAACUACGU